ACAGUGGCGAACGGGUGCGUAACACGUUGGUGACCUGCCUUAAGGAGGGGGACAACCGUGGGAAACCACGGCUAAUACCCCGGAUGUCUAAACUGUUAGAGGGUAUAGACUAAAACUUCGGUGCCUCAAGAGGGGCCUGCGGGCUAUCAGCUUGUUGGUGGGGUAAUGGCCUACCAAGGCUAAGACGGCUAGGGGGCGUGAGAGCGCGACCCCCCACAAUGGAACUGAGACGCGGUCCAUACUCCUACGGGAGGCAGCAGUGAGGAAUAUUGCGCAAUGGGGGAAACCCUGACGCAGCAACGCCGCGUGCACGAUGAAGGCCUUCGGGUCGUAAAGUUCUUUUCUAAGGGAAGAUAGUGACGGUACCUUAGGAAUAAGUCCCGGCUAACUACGUGCCAGCAGCCGCGGUAAAACGUAGGGGGCGAGCGUUAUCCGGAUUUAUUGGGCGUAAAGCGCACGUAGGUGGCGCUGUUAAGUUAGACGUAGAAAGCUCUCGGCUCAACUGAGAGAGGUCGUAUAGAACUGCAGUGCUUGAGGUUAGAAGAGGAGAGCAGAAUCCCCGGUGUAGUGGUGGAAUGCGGUAGAUAUCGGGGAGGAAUACCAUUGGCGAAGGCCGGCUCUCUAGUCGACACCUGACAACUGAGGGCAGAAAGCGUGGGUAGCAGAACGGGAUUAGAUACCCCGAGUAGUCCAACGCCUGUAAAACGAUGGAUACUAGGGUGUACGGGGGUCAUUUAACCCCUCUUGUGCCGAGGGCAAACGCGUUAAGUAUCCCGCCCUGGGGACUACGGGCCGCAGGGUUCAAACUCACACGGAAUUGACCGGGGGCCCGCACAAGCAGCGGAGCGUGUGCUUUAAUUCGAUGAUACGCGAAGAACCUUACCUGGGCUGAACUACGUGGUAGUAGUGAAGCGAAAGCGGAUCGACCCUUCGGGGAGCCUCGAUAGUUGCUGCAUGGCUGUCGUCAGCUCGUGUCGUGAGAUGUUGGGUUAAGUCCCGCAACGUGCGCAACCCUCGUCGCUAGUUACAAGUGUCUAGCGAGACUGCCGGUAUCAAACCGGAGGAAGGUGGGGAUGACGUCAAGUCAGCAUGGUCUUUAUGUCCAGGGCUACACACACGCUACAAUGGUCGGUACAAUAGCUUGCCACACCGCGAGGUGGAGCUAAUCCUCAAAGCCGAUCUCAGUUCGGAUUGUAGUCUGCAACUCGACUACAUGAAGGCGGAGUUGCUAGUAACCGCGCGUCAGCAUAGUGCGGUGAAUGCGUUCCCGGGCCUUGUAC
RNAcentral lists this ribosomal RNA (1280 nucleotides) under uncultured organism. RNAcentral's name for it is "bacterial SSU rRNA". It matches the Rfam family "Bacterial small subunit ribosomal RNA", at positions 92 to 1386 of the family's 1533-position model. The record is from RNAcentral.